This 937-nucleotide non-coding RNA is filed under the name Anolis cybotes (large-headed anole). Its description in RNAcentral is "12S rRNA". It matches the Rfam family "Microsporidia small subunit ribosomal RNA". The record is from RNAcentral. Lineage: Eukaryota; Metazoa; Chordata; Lepidosauria; Squamata; Anolidae.
UAAAGUUUUGGUCCUAAACUUACUGUUACUUUUUACCAAAAUUAUACAUGCAAGUAUCCGCACACCAGUGAAAAUGCCCAUAUAAAUAUUUGGAGCAGGUAUCAGGCACGAAAUCUUCAGCCCAAUACACCUUGCUAUGCCACACCCCCAAGGGUAUUCAGCAGUAAUAAAAAUUAAGCUAUGAGCGAUUACAAAUUUUAUUAAGCUAGACUUAGUUAUGGUCUUAGGACCGGUUAAUCUCGUGCCAGCCACCGCGGUUAUACGAGAGGUCCAAAAUAACAGACAACGGCGUAAAUGGUGAUUAAAAUCUUGUUAAAAAAUAAGAAAUAAACUAAAUUCUAACCGUAAAACUCAGACAAAAUGAAACCACUUUCUUAAAUUUUUAAACUAUUUGAUUCACGAAAGCUAAGAAACAAACUAGGAUUAGAUACCCUAUUAUGCUUAGCCCUUAAUAGACACACACAAACUUUAGUGUUCGCCAGAAUAUUACGGGCGAAAAGCCUAAAACUCAAAGGACUUGGCGGUACUUCAUACACGACUUAGAGGAGCCUGUCCUAUAAUCGAUAACCCACGAUAAACCUCACCACUUUUUGUCAAAUCAGCCUAUAUACCGCCGUCAUCAACCUACCUUGUGAAAGAGAUGUAGUAGGUAAAAUAGCCUAAUCACACAAACAUCAGGUCAAGGUGUAGCUAAUAAAGUGGCAGAGAUGGGCUACAUUUUUUAAACAAAACAUACGACAAAGUACUUUGAAAAAGGCACUAGAAGGAGGAUUUAAUAGUAAAAUAAGCAAGAAAACUUAUUUUAAACUCGCUCUGAAGUACGCACACACCGCCCGUCACCCUCCUCAAUUAACCUAAAAAUAAAUAAUAAAAACAAGAAAACAAGAUGAGGUAAGUCGUAACAUGGUAAGCGCACUGGAAAGUGUGCUUAGACAAA